Molecule: long non-coding RNA, 498 nt
Filed under: Equus caballus (horse)
Lineage: Eukaryota; Metazoa; Chordata; Mammalia; Perissodactyla; Equidae
Description: lncRNA (ENSECAG00000040561.3)
Source: RNAcentral
GACCAGCCAUCAAAGCAUUGUGACUUUUUUUCAGUUAAAUACAUGUUUGUAUAUAUAACAUAUUAGUUUAGCACAGAGCAUGAUAAAUUUCAUCUGCAGGAGCUGAAAAACAAGGGGAUGCAAUCUUGGGAAGCCUUCUUUAGAAUUCUGCCUACCACAAACUCUAUCUACACCUACAAGAUAUCCACACAUCGUUCUGCCCCUUCUUGCCCAGGACAACCGCGUGGGUGGUUCUCUGAACUUGCCAUGACUCCUGUAACUCUCAUGAAUAUCUGUGAAGCUCUGAUAACUCCCUCUGCUGCAGUUAAGCAGAUGUUUUGGGAGAGCUCACCAGUACAGCGCCCUGAAUCUCAUGUCUGCCCACACUUCCGGUAACUGAAGCUGCCUGCGUAAUGUAAUGAACUCCCAAGAACCCUCUUUGCAUGCUCCUGAUAAAUAAUGAAGAUAUACAAAAUCUAAUUUAAAAAAAGACAACGAAUAAAAAUUUUGAAAGUGCUA